UGGUAAGUUAGAUUGUGUUGUCA
RNAcentral lists this non-coding RNA (23 nucleotides) under Arabidopsis thaliana (thale cress). The record is from RNAcentral. Lineage: Eukaryota; Viridiplantae; Streptophyta; Magnoliopsida; Brassicales; Brassicaceae.